AUACAGAGGGUGCAAGCGUUAUUCGGAAUUACUGGGCGUAAAGCGCGCGUAGGCGGAUGAUUAAGUCAGUUGUGAAAGCCCUGGGCUCAACCUAGGAACUGCAUCUGAUACUGGUCGUCUAGAGUUUAAGAGAGGGAAGUGGAAUUCCAGGUGUAGCAGUGAAAUGCGUAGAUAUCUGGAGGAACAUCAGUGGCGAAGGCGACUUCCUGGCUUAAAACUGACGCUGAGGUACGAAAGCGUGGGUAGCAAACAGGAUUAGAAACCCUAGUAGUCC
This 274-nucleotide ribosomal RNA is filed under the name uncultured bacterium. Its description in RNAcentral is "partial 16S ribosomal RNA". It matches the Rfam family "Bacterial small subunit ribosomal RNA", at positions 523 to 796 of the family's 1533-position model. The record is from RNAcentral.